CUACGGGUCGCUGCAGUGAGGAAUAUUGCACAAUGGGGGGAACCCUGAUGCAGCAACGCCGCGUGGAGGAUGACGCAUUUCGGUGUGUAAACUCCUUUUAUAUGUCAAGAAAAUGACGGUAGCAUAUGAAUAAGCACCGGCUAACUCCGUGCCAGCAGCCGCGGUAAUACGGAGGGUGCAAGCGUUACUCGGAAUCACUGGUCGUAAAGGACGCGUAGGCGGGUUGGAAAGCCAGUGUGAAAUCCUACAGCUUAACUGUAGAACUGCACUUGAAACUUCUAAUCUAGAGUAUGGGAGGGGGAGAUGGAAUUAGUGGUGUAGGGGUAAAAUCCGUAGAUAUCACUAGGAAUACCAAAAGCGAAGGCGAUCUCCUGGAACAUUACUGACGCUAAGGCGUGAAAGCGUGGGGAGCAAACAGGAUUAGAUACCCUCGUAGUC
RNAcentral lists this ribosomal RNA (438 nucleotides) under uncultured bacterium. RNAcentral describes it as "partial 16S ribosomal RNA". It matches the Rfam family "Bacterial small subunit ribosomal RNA", at positions 339 to 795 of the family's 1533-position model. The record is from RNAcentral.